Molecule: long non-coding RNA, 5721 nt
Organism: Larimichthys crocea (large yellow croaker)
Lineage: Eukaryota; Metazoa; Chordata; Actinopteri; Sciaenidae
Exons: 3
Source: RefSeq, a predicted model, not a curated record
UGUGACAACCCUCCCUGAUCUCUCUCUCCUCCCUCCUGCUGUGGGCAGGGUCGUCAGGGAGCAUUGACUCCACCUGGGCUCUGGGGGCGGGGGUGUGGGACUUUUCAUUUUAAGAUCUCAGUGGCAGAGAUCUUUCUCCCUCCCUGCAGCAGCUCAGGUUUGGUUUGUGUUGGUUUUGUAUUUGGGUUAUUUGUUUCCUUUACAGUAGACUGGACUGUUAUUAUUAUUUCUUUUGUUCUUUGUUUCAGAAAUACUUUUGAAUAUUGAUUUGGUGUGCAUCUCCCUUUGUUGCCAUAGCUGUGCAGCCCAGGUCAUGACAAAUGAGGGCUCGUCCGAUUGUAAGUUAUGUUUGGGGGCUGUUGUGUGAUGGUUUUUGGGAGAUGCAUUUUGUUUUUGAAGUAGUAAUUUGAUUGUUUGGUUUGGGAGAACUGUUUGUCCUGCAGUCUCAUGUUUUGGUGUGAGUGGGCAGGUGGGAGCCAUCAGCAGUGACUGCAGAGUCUUCUGAUGAGGUGAGUGUGAAGUUUCCCCUGGUUAGGCUUAGCAGUGUGGUCCAUUUGGGCUCACUGUGUGUUUUUUGUUUUAGUCUGUUGUUUUUGUGUGGUGUGCGGUUAGAGCAUUGGUCUCGGGGUCACAUCCACAGCUGUCAGGUGAGUGACCAGCAUGCUGGGGACUUAACCGGGUUGUUGGUUUGAGUGAUUAAAUAUCCCACCGCUAAUCUGCAUGAAGAUUAGGUACAGUGAGUUAGAAUAGCUUCUGGACAGGCAGUUAGGGGGGGACUUCACAUUAAAUUGGGGUAUUUGUCUCAUUCUCACAUCGGAUGACUUUCUGCAUUGCUGUUUGAGGGUUCUGUUGGUUGUUAGUUCUCCUGUUGGUUUCAGGGUUUGGCCUGAAUUAGUCCCAGAGGCAUUUGGAUCGCGGUAUGGGAAAACUUUAACAACUACUUUAAAAUGAUUUUUUUCUUUCUACCAAAAAACAAAACAAAAAGUGAACUAUAGUAUUUAUUUUAGAAAAUGACACUACUUCAGAGGUUCAGCCUCCUACUUCUUCUAUUCCUUCUGACCAACAAUCCGUAUUUCCCGAUAAGUGAAUUAACUUUUUUUUGUUUUUGUUUAGCAACAAGUGUCUUUUCUACGUGUAACUUCUCAAAAAUACAAGUUCAUUGCUGCACUCAUAUUAUUGCUAUUAAUAGUUUUCUAUUAAGUCAAUAUUUUCCUACCAUUAAGAAUUUACAGGGAUGCACAUUUUAGAAACUUGCCAGUAAUGUUAACAUGUCAUGUGAUUUGAAAACAGUGUUUUUCUGUGACAUUUUUGGUGCUUUUGGGAUGUUGUAUGUAUCCAGGAUUUUGUUUUGUUUUCUACACUGAAUGUCUUUUCAUUUCUUGAAGAGACUUCUGACAAGUUUGAGGGCAUCCAACUCACACAGUCAGCUCAUGGUGGGUCUAUUUGCUCUUUAUUUUCUGACUUUUUCAGUAAACUGAGAUUUAACUUUUUUUUUUCUUCCCCCUUGUCUCCAAACUGGCAUAUAGAUUUUCUAGAUGGGGCUACCCGGCUGGCUAUUAGACGGUGACGCAGGAGCCACUUCGAGCACUCCCUCAUCAACGAGUCGUUCGUGCGAAUCGCCUGCAGUUCAUACAACGCAAUUGCUAUACUUGCACGGAAACGCCCAUCACCGAACUUUUGUCAAGAGAAUCUGCCGGCACUACACAUGGAGCAUCGGAGCCUGGGCCUUCAGUUUCACCCCAUCUGGAGGUCUGUGGCAGAGCUACCUAGGCCAAAAAAACCCUGCGUCCGUCAUCAAGCUGUGGAACAAAGAAGCUGUGGGACACAAACCGCCGCGUGAGAAGUGCAGCUGGAAGCACAAGCAGAUCAAGAACAACUUGGUGGCAGAGACAACAGGGGAAGGAGACGACUGCAGACAACCUUAAGAGGCUGGAAAGGUUCGAGCUGUUUCAACAAGUUUUGAUCUCUGUGUGGGCUUUCUGUAAAAAGUGUGGUGUGACAUUUAAAAUAGUGAAAUGGAUGAAGGUAACUUUAGUCUUUUUAGAGUCUGAUUUAAAGCUAGCAGUUGAGCAAUUGAAUCAAAUCUCCCCACCUCCUCCUGUAGAUGUAGCUGUUGCUAAUGUAGGUGAAAAUUCCUCAGCAGCCGAACCAUCAUCGACUGCUGAUAACUAUUUUCAAUCUUUAGAAGAUGCUCUGUUGCGUCUAAAUCAGAACCCAUCUUCCUCUGAUGUUCUCCAACAGGUUAACCAGACCGCCUACUGCUCACGGUCAAAUAAAAAACAAGUUCCCCCUCUUUCCCCCCACCUGCUCCUACCCCCUCUUUCCCACAGCAUUCGGCUUCAUUUCAAACUCCAAAUUUAGAGGAAGUCGGUAGAAAUGUCCAGCAUGGUGGUGGAAAUGUGAGCGGUCAGGCUGACACCCCCCCAGGCCGUCCAUCUCCUCAAACAUGGCGACCGUAUCCUGCGACUGGUUCAACAAUCUGGAGCUGAGACAAGUGUUCACCGUUCCCCCUGACAGGAACAUACUGGAUCUUGCUCAGUUUUAUGAUGUGAUGUUGAUCCUUAGAGAUAUGGCUGAUGCCGUCAGAGCACAGGUUAGGCGUAAUGAUGUGAUACAGCUAGAGGUGAUUGGUGAGAAUGUUCAGAAUCAUGUCUCUGUGGCUGAGGAUGAGCAUGGUGAUGCUAUCCUUCCUGCUUUUGAGGGCUUGCUCGAGCAGUUGGUGCAAUCUAACGGCGAGAUAGCAUCAGAUGCUAGGUUAGAAUUAGUGGUUCAGGUUGUGCAUGAUCCUAGAGGCAGUGUGAAAUGCAAGCUGGAAAAAACUUUAGACUGUGAAAUAAUAUGUAUUAAAAGACAGCAUGUCUACAUUGUAGACAACAGGAAUGGUCACCUCUGCUUUGCCAUCAACUUGGACAACAUGUGAUCGAUCCUCUAGUCACAGAUAAUCAGGUUUUAGAACGAGGAAGAGUUUCAGAGACUUGCUGGUCUAAACUCUCAGACCCCAGUCACCUUUACUGAUGUGUUCAAAUUUGAAAAGCCUGAACUGUAAAUUUUUUUUUUUUUUUUUUUUUUUUUUUUUAAUGACUUUGAAACGUUUGUUGUUCAGCAGGACAUGCACAAACCUUUUCUUGUCUGCAGCAAAACAUUGAGUGGCAUGCAGUGGUCGUCCUAUGGUUUGAACUGUGUCAGGGACUUUCUCCUGCAUUUCAGGAGGUCGAUGUACCAGAACUGUGUUUGUGGCUCUCAAUGCUAAAGGUUAUGACAGCUAUUUGAUCCUCAACACAAUGAUAGAGAUGGGAUUGCAGGGCAGUAAAAUUCUGUUUCCAAUUAUAAUUUAAAAUUCAACAUUUUCUUUCCUCACAAUGCAUCUCACCGCCAUGCCCAAGGCGUCAGACCAAGGGUCAUUUCCUUCAGUUUCAGUUCAAAGAAGAAUUUGCAGUAUGUCGGAGCUUACCCUCCGCCGCAUGGAGCGUAUGACUCCUGCUCAUCAGCAAGAGUUUUACAGCUGGUACAGAUAGGCAAGUCAGGGUAUGUUUCACUUUGAGAGGGAAGCUCCGCGGUACUGUGAAAAUGAAGUUGACAUUCUUGCCAAGGGCUGUAUCGAGUUCAGAAAUCAGUUCCUCAGUGAGACAGGCAUAGACCCUUUCAGUUACAUCACCAUUGCCUCGGCAUACAUGAAGGUAUUUCUUAGAAAUUUCCUCUCUCCUAAAAACCCUGGCUAUACCUUCGCCAGAUAACUACAGGUGCCAGACCAAAAGCUACUUCCACGUCUCCAUCCAAUGGUUGGAGUGAAUAGCAUGAGGCAAUAAUGUUUUUAUCCAGCAUGCAUUAAACAAGGGGGAGAAACCGGUAGGACCUUACUUUGUUGACUGUUAUGCUGAAAUAGACGGUGUUGCUUACGCUUGGUAGUUUCUGGCGUGCUUUUACCACGGUUGCCCGUCGUGUUUUAACCCCCACAACACUUGCCCUCGGGGCACAUCCCCUUUGAGGAGCUGUAUGCUGCUAGUGAGGAGAAAAUGCAGGCUUUGAAAUGUGUUCACGGUGUUCAGAUGGUUGUCAUGUGGGAACAUGACUAGCUGGCUAUGAAAAAAGCGUAAAAGCUUUUCUAGGGAGCUUCCUCCCUCCCGAACCUCUGUGCCCCCGCGACGCUCUCUUUGGCGGUAGAACGAGCGCUGUGAGGCUGAGGUACAUGGCCAGGCCUAACGAGACCGUGCACUAUGUAGACGUCACUUCUCUGUAUCCAUAUGUGAACUGUAGCUUUUCCUACCCACUAGGUCACCCCGCCAUCAUCCACAAAGACUUUGAUGCCCCUCAAAACUACUUUGGGUUCAUCAAAGCCACCAUCCACCCUGCAAGAGGGCUUGUUCCCAUGUUACCUUACAAAACAUCUCAAGGUAAAUUGGUGUUCACCCUUUGCCAUACCUGUGCUGAAAUCUACAAUCAGACAGGUCCGUGCAGACACGACGAGCAGGCUACAGCAUUGAGGGGAGUGUGGGUCAGCAUUAAAGUGAACAAGGCUCUUGAGGUUGGUUAUAGGGUAGGCAAGAUCAUUGAAGUGCGGCACUUUGACCGGUGUAGCGAUUCCAUUUUUCUCAGCGACAUGCACACCUUCCUAAAAGGUAAGCAGGAAGCUUCAGGCUACUCACCCAAGGCCACUGAUCAGGAAAGCAGAAAAGUACAUCAGGGACUAUGAGCUGCAUCAAGGCGUGCACCUAGAUGCUGACAAGAUUAAGGUGAACCCUGCAAAGAGACAGGUGGCUAAAUUUUGUCUCAACAGCUUCUGGGGAAAAUUUGCACAGAGAAGCAAUCUGCCUCAGACCACCCUGGUCAGCGAUCCUGAAGAAUUUCUCCGUUUCAUGUUUUUUGGUCAGUACAAAGUGAAAUACUUUAGUUUUCUGAAUGACCAAACCGCUAUGAUUCAGUGGAAUUACCACGAGCGGUGCAUCAUGCCUCCAUGUAGAGCUAAUAAUGUGUUCAUCGCUGCAUUCACUACUGCUUAUGCCCAUCUCAAGCUGUACAGCUAUCUAGAGCAGGUGCAAGAAAAUGUUCUCUACAUGGAUACUGACAGUCUGAUAUGUGGUGAAAGAAGGGGAACGCCUCUGAAAUUAGAAUUAUCUGGGGGAUUUGACCGAUGAGCUGGACGGUGACACCAUUCAGAAAUUUGCAGCCACUGGUCCCAAAAGUUACGCCUACCAGACUAGACAAAAGAAAAAAAGUAGUAGUGCAUGUCAAUGGUAUCACCCAGACUAGAGAAUGCUGUGAGCAGGUCAACUUUGACAGCAUCAGAGAGUUGGUGAAGGGCUACCUCGAGGGGGCGAUUGAGACCCCUCAGCAUAACACCGGAUGUAAUAAGAAGGGCUUUCUCUUGAAAAACUGCACAUUUCAAAAAGUUUGAGUGGUGUAUGACAAGAGACGUCUCUUUAGCGACGGGACAACUCUGCCUUUUGGCUACUGAAAUAGGAGGAGAGCAAUACACAAAAAGGAAAAACAAAAUAAACAAAUGUCACACUUUGCUAGCAUGGAGGAAGUUAACUUUGAUCCCAGACUUGCAGCACCCUUUUCAUGUAUGAUUGUGGGUAUGGGGAAAAGGUAUUUUGUAAAAUGUCAUUAAAAAUUGUGAACAUGUGAUGAAUCUUGUACCUGAGAACAUUUGUAUUGAUUGAUACUACUACUACUUUUCAACCAAUGUAUGAUGAACUGCAAAAGAUGAAUAAAAAGAUUAAG